RNAcentral lists this ribosomal RNA (466 nucleotides) under uncultured bacterium. RNAcentral describes it as "partial 16S ribosomal RNA". It matches the Rfam family "Bacterial small subunit ribosomal RNA", at positions 27 to 507 of the family's 1533-position model. The record is from RNAcentral.
GGACGAACGCUGGCGGCGUGCUUAACACAUGCAAGUCGAACGGAAAGGCCCUGCUUGCAGGGUACUCGAGUGGCGAACGGGUGAGUAACACGUGGGUGAUCUGCCCUGCACUUCGGGAUAAGCCUGGGAAACUGGGUCUAAUACCGGAUAGGAGCCAUUUUUAGUGUGAUGGUUGGAAAGUUUUUUCGGUGUAGGAUGAGCUCGCGGCCUAUCAGCUUGUUGGUGGGGUAAUGGCCUACCAAGGCGGCGACGGGUAGCCGGCCUGAGAGGGUGGACGGCCACAUUGGGACUGAGGUACGGCCCAGACUCCUACGGGAGGCAGCAGUGGGGAAUAUUGCACAAUGGGCGCAAGCCUGAUGCAGCGACGCCGCGUGGGGGAUGACGGCCUUCGGGUUGUAAACUCCUUUCGCUAGGGACGAAGCUUUUUGUGACGGUACCUAGAUAAGAAGCACCGGCUAACUACGUG